UAAAAUUUAUAAAAUUAGGUAGUAAAGAAAUUUCUGAAACCUAAAGAAUUUGGCGGUAUUUUAAAUAAUUGGAGGAACCUGUUAUUUAAUUGACAAUCCACAACAUAUCUUACCUAAAUUUUAUUUGUAUAUCGUCGUUUUGAUAAUAUUUAAAAAUAAUAAUCAAUUUUAAUUAAUUUUAGAAUUCAGAUCAAGGUGCAGUAUAUUUAGGUUAUAAUGGGUUACAAUAUAUUUAUAUAUAACGAAUAUAAAAUUGAAAUUAUAUUAAAGGUGGAUUCAAAAGUAAAAUUAAAUUAAAAAGUUAAUUUGAUUAAUAAUUUAAAAUAUGC
RNAcentral lists this ribosomal RNA (329 nucleotides) under Paravaejovis gravicaudus. RNAcentral's name for it is "partial 12S ribosomal RNA". The record is from RNAcentral. Lineage: Eukaryota; Metazoa; Arthropoda; Arachnida; Scorpiones; Vaejovidae.